This is a small nuclear RNA of Jaculus jaculus (lesser Egyptian jerboa), 107 nucleotides long. NCBI's taxonomy places the organism in Eukaryota, Metazoa, Chordata, Mammalia, Rodentia, Dipodidae. The record is from Ensembl.
AUGCUCACUUUGGCAGCACAUAUACUAAAAUUGGAAUGAUACAGAGAAGAUUAACAUGGUCCCUAUACACGGAUGACAUGCAAAUUCAUGAGAGAAUGGGUGCGCCA